Molecule: long non-coding RNA, 3364 nt
Filed under: Mus musculus (house mouse)
Lineage: Eukaryota; Metazoa; Chordata; Mammalia; Rodentia; Muridae
Description: long non-coding RNA chr13:15817315-15820679
Source: RNAcentral
AAAUGCAAUAUACAGCAAACUUACAAUCAAUACUAUGCUAAAUGAGGAUUAGUUUAUAAUUUUGCUUUUGGUAUAAAGAUAACACUGAGUUCAUAAAAAUUUUGGAAGCGUUCCUUCCUUUUACAUUUCAUGAAAUAAUUUGAGGAGUAUUAGUAUUUCUUUUUGAGGAAACUGUUCUCUAUGGGGACUACAUGUAAGUGACACAUUACACCCUCACAGGCUCCAUUUAGCAUAUUGUUGUUGUGGGGUGAUAGUAUAUUGAAUUUAUUAUUUUGUGAUAUGGCUUCUAUAUCUCUAGAUUUUCUAGGACAUUUAUCAUAAAUGGGCAUUGAAUUUUUCCAAGGUGUUUUCUGCAUCCAACAAGAUAACCAGAUGGUUUCUGUAAUUAAGUUUAUUUGUAUGGGUAAUUGCAUUUAUUGUUUUACGUAUGCUUAACCAUAUAUGUAUUAGUGGGAUGAACCUGAUUUGACUGUGAUAGAUCUUUUUGAUGUGUUCUUGAAUUUGGAUAGAAAAUAUUUUUAUUUAUUUAUUUAUUUAUUUAUUUAUUUUUAUUUAUUAGGUAUUUUCUUCAUUUACAUUUCCAAUGCUAUCCCAAAAGUCCCCCAUACCCUCCUCCCCCACCCCCCUACCCACCUACUCCCACUUCUCGGCCCUGGUGUUCCCCUGUACUGAGGCAUAUAAAGUUUGCAAGACCAAUGGGCCUCUCUUCCCAGUGAUGGCUGACUAGGCCAUCUUCUGAUACAUAUGCAGCUAGAGACACGAGCUCUGGGGGGUACUGGUUAGUUCAUAUUGUUGUUCCACCUAUAGGGUUGCAGAUCCCUUUAGCUACUUGGGUACUUUCUCUAGCUCCUCCAUUGGGGGCCUUGUGUUCCAUCCUAUAGAUGACUGUGAGCAUCCACUUAUGUGUUUGCUAGGCCCCGGCAUAGCCUCACAAGAGACAGCUAUAUCAGGGUCCUUUCAGCAAAUAUUUUUAUUGAAAACUUUUGCAUCUAAGUUUAUUAUAGCGAUUGGCUGAUAAUUUUCCUUUUUUUCUGGGUCUUUAUUUUUGGAAUCUGGGUAUGAUAUACUGCAUAACAAGUUUUGGAAAUGUUCCUUUCCCAUUCAAUGUAUGAAAUAAUUUAAGGAGUUUUGGUGUUUUAUUUUCUUUUUCAUAUUUAAUAUUGUUAAUCUGAGCCAGAUUAAUGACUAGCAGUUUUUGUCCAUCGUAUUUUUUCCCCAAAGAACCCACUAUGUUUUAUUGGUUCUUUGUAGUAUUUUUUGAUUUUUUUUGAGAUUUAUUUACUUUUGUUUAGAAGUAAAUAUAUGAGUUGUGUGAGUAUAAGUUCCUUAUAUGCAGGUCCAUGGAGAGUAGAAGAAGGUAAUGCAUCUCCUAGAUCUGUAGUUAAAGAUGGGGUCUGCCAUAUAUAGCAGAGGACAGCUCUGGUCCGGCCUCAGUGGGAGAAGAUGAAUCUAACCCUUGAGAGACUUGAGACCCCAGGGAGUGGGGAGACCUGUGGGGGACAUCCUCUUGGAGAUGGAGUAGGAGAAAUGGGAUGAGGAACUGUGGGAGGGCAGAUCAGGAGGGGGGCAAUGACUGGACUGUAAAAAAAUUAAAGUUUAAAAAAAAAAGAUAGCUGUGUGCUGUCAUGUAGGUGUAAGGAACUGAACUUGGGCCCUCUCCAACAGCAGCUAUUGUUCUUAACUAUUAAGUGAUCUUUCUAGUCCCUCAUUUCUAUUAUUUUAUUUUCACCCCAUCUUUUCUUAUCUAUUUUUGGGGGGCAUUGUAUGUUCUUGUUUCUCCAAAACUUACAGAUACAAUACUAAACUACUAAUUUGAAACCUUUCUAGUUUGAGUGUGUGUCUCUGUGUGUGUUAGUAUUGAGUGCCAUAAAUUUCCUACCAGAACUGCCUUUUUUGUGUCCUAUAGAUCUUGGUAUUAUGUUGAUUUUAUUUUUCACUUAAUUCUAGGGAGUCUUGAUUUUUCUUCUUUAUUUAUUCCUUGAAAGAUCAUCUUUAGUUAGUUUAUUACUUAGUUUCCAUGAGUUUAUGUACUUCUUGUUGCUUCUAUGUCAGUUGAUAUCCAGCUUUAUGACAUUGUUCUCACUACUCUCCUUAUAAGUUCUGCAAAGUGCACUUCCCCAGAAAGUCUCACGAUUCACAACACCUUUGGCUGUCAUCUAUUUUCCAACUCAAAGCCCAUUUUAUUUGCCAUUUUAGAUCCUCAGUGCAUAUGGUCUGACUCACUGUCACCCACCACUCAUUGCAACUACUUCAGAAUGAUUCUCCCUCACAAGUUUGUUUCCCACAAACUCAAACAUUUUAUAGGAUUUGUCAAGAGGUGUCUAGUCUGUGUUUUUCCAAAUUUGAUCCAGUUGUUAUAUUUUCCUUGCAUGCCUUCCCACAAACUAUUACAAAUGUUCCUUGUGAAAGACUUACUGGCAAUGCCUUUGAUAAGCCAUACACUACCGUAUUAGUCAGGAAACCCAAUUGACAGAAGGCUUACUCCAACUCAACCAAGCCGGAAAUGGAGUUUGUUGGCUCACAUAACAACAAAAAGGGAUACAGCUUGGGACACGUGGUGGGACAGGGGUCUUGACAUAACUACAGCUCUGUCCCUCCAGAUCUACUUCUCUGAUUGAAGACUUUAUUCUUCCGAUAGGCAAAGGGUUUUUUUUUUUUUUAUUUUGAUGUGGGAAAAAUGAAGAACACAUUCCUUGUUAUAUAAUAGUCCUAGUUAGAAUACCUAUAUGGUAGUAAAACAUGAUGACCAGAAGUAGCUGUGAAAGGAAAGGGUUUAUUUUAUCUUAUAGUUCUACAUCACAGACCAUCACUGGUGUAAGUCAGGGGAAGAACUCAAAUAGGGCAGGAACCCAGAGACAAGCAAAGCAGAGGACAUAGAAUAGUACUACUUACUGACUUGCUUUUCAUGGCUUGCUCAGCCUGUUUUCUAAGGCACCCCCUUUUUUCAUACAGCACUGUCUGUUUUCUUCACAAUGUGACAACAUUAAGUAAAUCUUCUCUCCCUGCUUUCAGCAGUGCCUACAUAUUUAACUGAAAUAUUGGAUUUAGGUAGCUAAGCCUUCUUGUUGGAGCUGCUGGAGCCUGAACUCUGCUUAUACCCAAGAAAUAAUUAGGUAGUGCUAAACUAUUAUUAUUACAGAGCAGCAUUCUGAGCUUGAGCUUCAGCAAAACUGUGCACUGAGGAGUCCAGCACUUUAGUCCUUGUUGGUUUGCUGUUGUUGUUAUAACUGUACUACUCAACUAUUAUGCUUUUCCUAGCAUUUAUUUAUUUAUUUUUAUCAAUUUCAGACUAAUCAUUAUUAGAGUUAGAGAGCAAUGUGAUUCUUCUGUUUUUCCUAUGUAUUAAAAAGCAUAUUUUACAAAC